Molecule: long non-coding RNA, 235 nt
Filed under: Trifolium pratense (red clover)
Lineage: Eukaryota; Viridiplantae; Streptophyta; Magnoliopsida; Fabales; Fabaceae
Description: long non-coding RNA (TPRA_LNC000359)
Source: RNAcentral
UAAUAAGAUUUUUAAUAAUAUCGUCAUGGAGCCAUUAGAUAUUAUAGAGGAGGUGAAAGUGACAUCGUGGAAAUGGAGUUUGGAGAGAUUGAAAAUUUCUCCUUGUCUCUAUUAUGAAUGGUGUUUGGAGCCUGGUAUAUGUAUUAACAACUGAUUUUCUUUGCGGUCUUGGUGUUUUUGAUGUUGUUGUUUUAAGGGCGUGGGUUUUUCUUUUGUUUGGUGGGAUGGUGUUUUG